RNAcentral lists this ribosomal RNA (186 nucleotides) under uncultured Desulfocapsa sp. Its description in RNAcentral is "partial 16S ribosomal RNA". It matches the Rfam family "Bacterial small subunit ribosomal RNA", at positions 1197 to 1382 of the family's 1533-position model. Lineage: Bacteria; Pseudomonadati; Thermodesulfobacteriota; Desulfobulbia; Desulfobulbales; Desulfocapsaceae. The record is from RNAcentral.
GGCCUUUAUGACCAGGGCUACACACGUACUACAAUGGCCGGUACAAAGGGCAGCCACUUAGCGAUAAGGAGCCAAUCCCGUAAAGCCGGUCUCAGUCCGGAUUGGAGUCUGCAACUCGACCCCAUGAAGUUGGAAUCGCUAGUAAUCGCAGAUCAGCACGCUGCGGUGAAUACGUUCCCGGGCCUU